GGGUCAGUAGGUUGGUCGUGCCACCGGUACGUACUGGUCUCACUGAUUCCUCCUUCCUGAAGAACCGUAAUGCCAUUAAUUUGGUGUUGCGGGGAAACAGGACUGUUACUUUGAAAAAAUUGGAGUGUUUAAAGCAAGCUAACGCUUGAAUACAUUAGCAUGGAACAAUGAAAUAGGACGAUCGAUCCUGUCUUGUUGGUUUCUAGGAUUGACGUA
Molecule: ribosomal RNA, 216 nt
Filed under: Glomeromycotina sp.
Lineage: Eukaryota; Fungi; Glomeromycota
Description: partial small subunit ribosomal RNA
Rfam family: Eukaryotic small subunit ribosomal RNA (bases 44-216)
Source: RNAcentral